RNAcentral lists this long non-coding RNA (1612 nucleotides) under Androctonus crassicauda. Lineage: Eukaryota; Metazoa; Arthropoda; Arachnida; Scorpiones; Buthidae. The record is from RNAcentral.
CAGAUUUGAUUGAUUACAAUAUAUUGAUUGAUAUCAAAAUUUAUCUUGUUUGUCAAUUUUGAUAAUUUCUGUAUUGCUUGAAUUUCCUUUGAUAUUUGCUUUUUAAUCUAUAGAUUAUUCAUUUUUUUUAUUUUAUUAUACAGGGUGUCUCCAGGAUUUAUUUUUGCUAUUAUUCCAGAGUCAGACAUGAUACAAUUGAAUAAAAUAUACAAAAGCAGGAAAACUUACCAAGUUUCUGAGAAAAUUACACAGUCUACUAAUUAUACUAAUGGAGCACACAUGGAGAAUAUGUGCUCCAAAGGGUUGAUAUAGUUCAUAGAAUAUGUGCUCCAUUAGUGACAAUGAUAAUGUCAACCUUGAACUCAAUUUCUUGCCAAGUGUUGUGAAGCAUAUCUGGUAUGACAUUGCAACUGCCUCAGUGGUUCUUUCAUGGAAGUAGUUCAGCUUGUUUACUUUCAUUCUAUAAACCUUGUCUUUGACAUAUUUUCAUAAAAAAGAAGAAAUUCAGGGAGUUAAAUCUGGGGACCUGGAUGAUCAUGAAAUUGGUCCCUCUAUCCAAUUCAACCAGGAAAAUUUCUAUCCAUUAUUUCAUGAACUUCUGAUUUCUAGUAUGAAGCGAUGCUCUCUUGUUGAAAGAAAAGUUCACAAUUGAUUUGUUGAAGUUGGGGGAAGAAAAUGUUUCUAAUGUAUUCAGGUAAAUUACAUCCGUCUCUAUGCUUUGAUGAAGAAGAAAGAUCAUAUUAUUCUCAUCUCUAUCAGACCGUAAUAUACAUUAAUUUUCAGGUUGUUCCGAGUGUGUUCUUGAACAUUGUGUGGGUUUUCUGAAUCCAAAUUUAGAUAUUGUGGUAAUCACAUGUCCUGAUACAUGAAAUGUCACCUCAUUAGAGAAACAAAUGCAUGCCAGGAAAUUCUGAUUCAUAUCAAUACAAGCAAACAGCCAUUUGCAAAAGCUACCCUGACUGGCUUCUCACUUGAUUUCAACUCUUGUAGUAACCAGAUUUUGUACACACACAACUUCCUGAUGGACAGCAUUGUGACAACUUUUUUUUUGCUGAUGGACAACUUUAUGGACAGUGAAUUUUGGCAACUGCAGCUCACAUGAUACUCAUUUAAUAGACUUGUGUGGGCUCUAGCCAAACAUCUCCUGACUGCAUUGCACAUUUUACAAAGAAGUGUAGUAAAGCAGCACAUUGCAAAUAACAUUUACAAAGAAGUGUAGUAAAGUAGCACGGAGGUGGUUACAAAGUGUCAUGUGAAAAGUGUGACAUUUUGUAACCAUUUCUGUGCUGCUUUACUACACUCCCAGUUCCCAAAAGCAGGCCACACUAAUGCUUGAUGGUCUUGUCAAUUGAUGCAUAUCUGUGGUAACUUGCCUAAACUUCUGUUGCACACUCACCAUGGACUUAAGUUCUGACUACUACCAUGGACUUAAGUAUUGACUUUUUCUUGUGGGGAAGCCAUUUUGAAUAUCAGUGACUGCAGCAUCUUAAAAUAUGAACUGGCAGGAAAAACAAAAUUAUUAGGCUAACCUGAUGAACUCUUCCUUCUCAAUUGUCAUUGUACAAUGUAACUUUGAUUUUUACCAUGCUCUUAAAAUCCUGGAGUUUUUGAC